UAAAAAGUAAUAAAGGGUGUUUAGUGGAUGCCUUGGCAAUCAGAGGCGAUGAAAGACGUGAAAGACUGCGAUAAGCCUGGGGGAGCCGUCAAUAUGCAUUGAUCCCAGGAUUUCUGAAUGGGGAAACCCGAUACAUAUGUAUCGCUUGCAACUGAAUAAAUAGGUUGCAAGAGCAAACGUGGUGAAGUGAAACAUCUCAGUAGCCACAGGAAAAGAAAUCAAAUAUGAGACUCCGCGAGUAGUGGUGAGCGAAAGCGGACCAGCCCAAUGACUGAAACAUUUCUCAGCAAAACGCGAUGGAAAGCGCGGCAAUAAUAGGUGAUAGCCCUGUAUGCGAAAAGAAGUGAGAAGUAUACGAGUAGAGCGGGACCCGUGAAAUCCCGUUUGAAUAUGGGGGGACCAUCCUCCAAGGCUAAGUACUCCUGAUUGACCGAUAGUGCACAAGUACCGUGAGGGAAAGGUGAAAAGAACCCCGAGAGGGGAGUGAAAUAGAAACUGAAACUGAACACUUACAAGCUGUCGGAGCGGGUUUUCCCGUGACGGCGUACCUUUUGUAUAAUGAGCCAACGAGUUAUUUUCACAUGCAAGCCUAAGCCGUUAGGUGUAAGCGCAGGGAAACCGAGUCUGAAUAGGGCGAUUUAGUAUGUGGAAAUAGACCCGAAGCGGGGUGAUCUAGGUAUGGGCAGGUUGAAGUCUGUGUAACAGCAGAUGGAGGACCGAACGCACCAAUAUGGCAAAAUUGGGCGAUGACCUGUGUCUAGGGGUGAAAAGCCAAUCGAACCCUGUUAUAGCUGGUUCUCCGCGAAAACUAUUGAGGUAGUGUCUUAGGUGUUUGUUGCUGGGGGUAAAGCACUGAAAUGGCUAGGGGGGAGAAAUCCUUACCAAACCAUAUCAAACUCUGAAUACCAGCAAAAUAUAGCCUAGGAAACAGUCCAUGGGUGCUAAGGUCCGUGGACGAGAGGGUAAGAGCCCAGACCGCCAGUUAAGGUCCCUAAAUCACAAUUAAGUGGGAAAGUGAGUUGAGAUUCCAAAACAACCAGGAUGUUGGCUUAGAAGCAGCCAUCAUUCAAAGAAAGCGUAAUAGCUCACUGGUCUAUUUAGAGUUUCAGCAACCAAAAUGUAACGGGGCUAAAAUUGUGUACCGAAACUGCGGGCGUGUCGUAAGAUGCGCGGUAGCGGAGCAUUCUGUAAGUCUGUGAAGCCGAAGGCGCGAGCCGCGGUGGAGAUAUCGGAAGAGCGAAUGUUGGCAUGAGUAGCAGCUAAUCAGUGUGAGAAACACUGACGUCGUAAGAGCAAGGGUUCCUAUCCAAUGACAAUCAGGGUAGGGUGAGCCGACCCCUAAGGCGAGGCCGAAAGGCGUAGUCGAUGGGAACACGGUUAAUAUUCCGUGGCUUGCUGGUGGUGACAAAUCUGGUAGAUUGUGAGUCCUUAUUGGAUUGGGCUUGCAGUGAACAGGUUUCGGGAAAUAGCCCCAGCGUAUAAAUCGUACCCAGAACCAACACAGGUGCUCGAGUCGAGUAGACUAAGACGGUUGAGAGAACUAUCUUGAAGGAACUAGGCAAAAUACAUCCGUAACUUCGGAAUAAGGAUGACCUCGUUCAAGGCAACUUUAAUGAGGUGGCACAUACUAGGGGGUGGCGACUGUUUACUUAAAACACAGGUCUCUGCUAAAUCGUAUAAGAUGAAGUAUAGGGACUGACGCCUGCCCAGUGCCGGAAGAUUAAGCUGAUGUGUGCAAGCACUGAUGUGAAGUCCCGGUAAACGGCGGCCGUAACUCUAACGGUCCUAAGGUAGCGAAAUUCCUUGUCGGGUAAGUUCCGACCCGCAUGAAUGGCGUAACGAUCUCCCCACUGUCUCCAAGAUAGACUCAGCGAAAUUGAAUUCUCGGUGAAAAUGCCGGGUACCCGCAGCUAGACGGAAAGACCCUAUGAAGCUUUACUGCAACUUUGUACUGGCCUAAGGAUUUGUUUGUGUAGGAUAGGUGGGACGCUUUGAAGUAGCCGCGCUAGCGGUUAUGGAGCGGUCGUUGAAAUACCACCCUGGCAAAUUUUUAGGUCUAACCAUAUCCCGUUAUCCGGGAUGGGGACAGUGCAUGGCGGGCAGUUUGACUGGGGCGGUCGCCUCCCAAAUAGUACCGGAGGCGUGCGAAGGUUUGCUCAGAUUGGUCGGAAAUCAAUCGGUGAGUGCAAUGGCAAAAGCAAGCCUGACUGAAAGAGGGACACCUCGAUCAGAGACGAAAGUCGGUCAUAGUGACCCGGUGGCUCCGAAUGGAAGGGCCAUCGCACACGGAUAAAAGCUACUCUAGGGAUAACAGGCUGAUGCUACCCAAGCGUCCAUAGCGACGGUAGUGUUUGGCACCUCGAUGUCGACUCAUCGCAUCCUGGGGCUGGAGCAGGUCCCAAGGGUAUGGCUGUUCGCCAUUUAAAGCGGUACGUGAGUUGGGUUAAUAACGUUGUGAGACAGUUAGGUCCCUAUCUACUGUGGGCGUUGGAUAUUUGAGAAGAGUUGACCUUAGUACGAGAGGACCGGGUCGAACGAAUCCCUGGUGUACCUGUUGUCGCGCCAGCGGCAGUGCAGGGUAGCUAAAUUCGGACAGGAUAAACGCUGAAUGCAUCUAAGCGUGAAGCCCCCUUCAAGAUAAGAUAUCCCAAUUAGUUCUGUAAUAGACGAUUACUUUGAUAGGUCAGAGGUGGAAGUGCCGUAAGGUAUGUAGCUUACUGAUACUAAUAGAACGAAUGACUUUUUAUC
This 2748-nucleotide ribosomal RNA is filed under the name Rickettsiales bacterium. RNAcentral describes it as "23S ribosomal RNA". It matches the Rfam family "Bacterial large subunit ribosomal RNA". Lineage: Bacteria; Pseudomonadati; Pseudomonadota; Alphaproteobacteria; Rickettsiales. The record is from RNAcentral.